GAUGAACGCUGGCGGCGUGCUUAACACAUGCAAGUCGAACGGAAAGGCCCAAGCUUGCUUGGGUACUCGAGUGGCGAACGGGUGAGUAACACGUGGGUGAUCUGCCCUGCACUUCGGGAUAAGCCUGGGAAACUGGGUCUAAUACCGGAUAGGACCACAUUUUGGAUGGUGUGGUGGAAAGUUUUUCGGUGUGGGAUGAGCUCGCGGCCUAUCAGCUUGUUGGUGGGGUAAUGGCCUACCAAGGCGUCGACGGGUAGCCGGCCUGAGAGGGUGUACGGCCACAUUGGGACUGAGAUACGGCCCAGACUCCUACGCGAGGCAGCAGUGGGGAAUAUUGCACAAUGGGCGCAAGCCUGAUGCAGCGACGCCGCGUGGGGGAUGACGGCCUUCGGGUUGUAAACUCCUUUCGCUAGGGACGAAGCGUUUUUGUGACGGUACCUGGAGAAGAAGCACCGGCUAACUACGUG
This 467-nucleotide ribosomal RNA is filed under the name uncultured bacterium. RNAcentral describes it as "partial 16S ribosomal RNA". It matches the Rfam family "Bacterial small subunit ribosomal RNA", at positions 28 to 507 of the family's 1533-position model. The record is from RNAcentral.